GAUGAACGCUGGCGGCGUGCUUAACACAUGCAAGUCGAACGGUGAAGCAGGAGCUUGCUCUUGUGGGUCAGUGGCGAACGGGUGAGUAACACGUGAGCAACCUGCCCCUGACUCUGGGAUAAGCGCUGGAAACGGCGUCUAAUACUGGAUAUGUGAUGUGACCGCAUGGUCUGCAUCUGGAAAGAAUUUCGGUUGGGGAUGGGCUAACGGCCUAUCAGCUUGUUGGUGAGGUAAUGGCUCACCAAGGCGUCGACGGGUAGCCGGCCCGAGAGGAGGAGCGGCUACACUGGGACUGAGACACGGCCCAGACUCCCACGGGAGGCAGCAGUGGGGAAUAUUGCACAAUGGGCGGAAGCCUGAUGCAGCAACGCCGCGUGAGGGAUGUCGGCCUUCUGGUUGUAAACCUCUUUUAGCAGGGAAGAAGCGAAAGUGACGGUACCUGCAGAAAAAGCACCGGCUAACUACGUGCCAGCCGCCGCCGUAA
This 484-nucleotide ribosomal RNA is filed under the name uncultured bacterium. RNAcentral describes it as "partial 16S ribosomal RNA". It matches the Rfam family "Bacterial small subunit ribosomal RNA", at positions 28 to 523 of the family's 1533-position model. The record is from RNAcentral.